RNAcentral lists this RNase P RNA (378 nucleotides) under Facklamia languida. RNAcentral's name for it is "RNase P RNA component class B". It matches the Rfam family "Bacterial RNase P class B". From Rfam's summary of the family: Ribonuclease P (RNase P) is a ubiquitous endoribonuclease, found in archaea, bacteria and eukarya as well as chloroplasts and mitochondria. Lineage: Bacteria; Bacillati; Bacillota; Bacilli; Lactobacillales; Aerococcaceae. RNAcentral also lists the same sequence under 1 other name. The record is from RNAcentral.
AAUUUUAGGUAAUCGCGGUCUUAAUUGGCUGAGGAAAGUCCAUGCUCGCACAAGCUGAAAUGCUUGUAGUGUUCGUGCUUAGCGAAACAAUAAGCUAAGGUAGUCUUAUGACUAACGGCCGAAGAAAUUUCUAAGGGUCUCCUAGGAAAGAGUAUUCGAUAACGUGCCACAGUGACGAUACUUUGUGGAAACGCAGAGGUGAAACGCGGUAAACCCCUCGAGCGAGCAACCCAAAUUUGGUAGGGGCACUCUUUGAAAGGAACGGCUACCCUGUAGCCGGCUAACUGAAGAAGAGACAAGAAAUCUUGUAGAUAGAUGAUUACCCCAUCGAUGGCUGGCACCUAUCCUGCCAUCGGUGACAGAACAUGGCUUAUCGAA